Long non-coding RNA from Panicum virgatum (switchgrass), 764 nucleotides. RefSeq lists it as uncharacterized. The transcript is spliced from 2 exons. NCBI's taxonomy places the organism in Eukaryota, Viridiplantae, Streptophyta, Magnoliopsida, Poales, Poaceae. The record is from RefSeq and is a predicted model, not a curated record.
GGUCACUGUAUAAUGAGAUUAGUGUGUGUUACCUUUGACAGUGGCAUUAUUAGUAUUAUAUUUGAUGUGAACUCCACUGUUGUAUGUAUGUUGGAAGUAGCAAAGGAGCAGUUUUGUUUGCUCUGAUCUAACUGAACCAGGUGGUUUCAUGGAGUCGAGUGAUAUUUGGAGUUGGAGGAAGUAGGAAAGGGAAAUGUUUCCAUCCUGGGGAAAUCUUCAUUUGCUAGCAGUAUGAAGUGGCAGCCUUAGGGUAUCAUUGAUGGAGGAUUAGUGCAUGUGUCUGAUCUUGCUGCAGGGAAGGAUUGUUUUUCUGCAUGUAUCUAUGGCCAUGCUGACAAGGGAACUUAUGAUUGUGGGUUCUCUAGGAGUGACGAACUGGAUGUGUGCAAUGCAGAGGUUAGAUUGUCUGAUGGUCUGCCUAUGCUACCUGAUGCGGGAAUCACUCAAAUGCUGGACUGUAACAAUGGGUCACUACUGGUGAAGCAGGCAUCGAAAAGAUUGCAGUUUUGUUGCAUUGGGGUCUACAUUUGCCGGUGAUUGUUGCUGGUUUGGGGGGGGGGGGGGGUGCGUGGUGAUGGAGAUGGGACAUUUGUGAGCCGAUUAUGGGAUUUGGUUUUGUUCUUAUGGAGAGGCUGUGUUGCAGCGUUGUAUUAACACUAGUCGUAUCGAGGAAAUGUAAGUUUAUAUUUUAUCAUGACAAGAAGGUGAACCUGUGUAAACUUGUAUAUGUAUUCAGUUUAAUAUAUUCUAAAGUUAGCCCACCA